This 253-nucleotide ribosomal RNA is filed under the name uncultured bacterium. RNAcentral's name for it is "partial 16S ribosomal RNA". It matches the Rfam family "Bacterial small subunit ribosomal RNA", at positions 524 to 776 of the family's 1533-position model. The record is from RNAcentral.
UACGUAGGGGGCAAGCGUUGUUCGGAAUUACUGGGCGUAAAGGGCGCGUAGGCGGCACGACAAGUCGGAAGUGAAAGCCCGGGGCUCAACCCCGGAAUGUCUUUCGAAACUGUCGAGCUAGAGUGCAGAAGAGGCAACUGGAAUUCCCAGUGUAGCGGUGAAAUGCGUAGAUAUUGGGAAGAACACCUGAGGCGAAGGCGGGUUGCUGGGCUGACACUGACGCUGAGGCGCGAAAGCCAGGGGAGCGAACGGG